This 484-nucleotide ribosomal RNA is filed under the name uncultured bacterium. RNAcentral's name for it is "partial 16S ribosomal RNA". It matches the Rfam family "Bacterial small subunit ribosomal RNA", at positions 28 to 523 of the family's 1533-position model. The record is from RNAcentral.
GAUGAACGCUGGCGGCGUGCUUAACACAUGCAAGUCGAACGGUGAAGCAGGAGCUUGCUCUUGUGGAUCAGUGGCGGACGGGUGAGUAACACGUGAGCAACCUGCCCCUGACUCUGGGAUAAGCGCUGGAAACGGCGUCUAAUACUGGAUAUGUGAUGUGACCGCAUGGUCUGCAUCUGGAAAGAAUUUCGGUUGGGGAUGGGCUCGCGGCCUAUCAGCUUGUUGGUGAGGUAAUGGCUCACCAAGGCGUCGACGGGUAGCCGGCCUGAGAGGGGGACCGGCCACACUGGGACUGAGACACGGCCCAGACUCCUACGGGAGGCAGCAGUGGGGAAUAUUGCACAAUGGGCGGAAGCCUGAUGCAGCAACGCCGCGUGAGGGAUGACGGCCUUCGGGUUGUAAACCUCUUUUAGCAGGGAAGAAGCGAAAGUGACGGUACCUGCAGAAAAAGCACCGGCAAACUACGUGCCAGCCGCCGCGGUAA